AGAUUGAACGCUGGCGGCAUGCCUUACACAUGCAAGUCGAACGGCAGCACGGGGGCAACCCUGGUGGCGAGUGGCGAACGGGUGAGUAAUAUAUCGGAACGUGCCCUGGAGUGGGGGAUAGCUCGGCGAAAGCCGGAUUAAUACCGCAUACGAUCUACGGAUGAAAGUGGGGGAUCGCAAGACCUCGUGCUCCUGGAGCGGCCGAUAUCUGAUUAGCUAGUUGGUGGGUAAAGGCCUACCAAGGCAUCGAUCAGUAGCUGGUCUGAGAGGACGACCAGCCACACUGGAACUGAGACACGGUCCAGACUCCUACGGGAGGCAGCAGUGGGGAAUUUUGGACAAUGGGCGAAAGCCUGAUCCAGCAAUGCCGCGUGUGUGAAGAAGGCCUUGGUUGUAAAGCACUUUUUGGCGGUAACGAAACGGUCGGUCUAAGUACCCUGGCUAAGUGACGGUACCGCAGAAUAAGCACCGCUAACGUACGUGCCAGCAGCCG
This 493-nucleotide ribosomal RNA is filed under the name uncultured soil bacterium. RNAcentral's name for it is "bacterial SSU rRNA". It matches the Rfam family "Bacterial small subunit ribosomal RNA", at positions 26 to 517 of the family's 1533-position model. The record is from RNAcentral.